RNAcentral lists this ribosomal RNA (476 nucleotides) under uncultured bacterium. Its description in RNAcentral is "partial 16S ribosomal RNA". It matches the Rfam family "Bacterial small subunit ribosomal RNA", at positions 28 to 523 of the family's 1533-position model. The record is from RNAcentral.
GAUGAACGCUGGCGGCGUGCUUAACACAUGCAAGUCGAGCGAGUGAGUUCUUCGGAACGAUCUAGCGGCGGACGGGUGAGUAACACGUGGGCAACCUGCCUCAUAGAGGGGAAUAGCCUCCCGAAAGGGAGAUUAAUACCGCAUAAAAUUAUCGAGUGGCAUCACACGGUAAUCAAAGGAGCAAUCCGCUAUGAGAUGGGCCCGCGGCGCAUUAGCUAGUUGGUGAGGUAACGGCUCACCAAGGCGACGAUGCGUAGCCGACCUGAGAGGGUGAUCGGCCACAUUGGGACGGAGACACGGCCCAGACUCCUACGGGAGGCAGCAGUGGGGAAUAUUGCACAAUGGGGGAAACCCUGAUGCAGCAACGCCGCGUGAGUGAUGAAGGUCUUCGAAUUGUAAAGCUCUGUCUUUGGGGACGAUAAUGACGGUACCCAAGGAGGAAGCCACGGCCAACUACGUGCCAGCCGCCGCGGUAA